This 832-nucleotide ribosomal RNA is filed under the name Salmonella enterica subsp. enterica serovar Vejle. Its description in RNAcentral is "partial 23S ribosomal RNA". It matches the Rfam family "Bacterial large subunit ribosomal RNA", at positions 948 to 1773 of the family's 2925-position model. The record is from RNAcentral. Lineage: Bacteria; Pseudomonadati; Pseudomonadota; Gammaproteobacteria; Enterobacterales; Enterobacteriaceae.
UGCAAACUGCGAAUACCGGAGAAUGUUAUCACGGGAGACACACGGCGGGUGCUAACGUCCGUCGUGAAGAGGGAAACAACCCAGACCGCCAGCUAAGGUCCCAAAGUCAUGGUUAAGUGGGAAACGAUGUGGGAAGGCCCAGACAGCCAGGAUGUUGGCUUAGAAGCAGCCAUCAUUUAAAGAAAGCGUAAUAGCUCACUGGUCGAGUCGGCCUGCGCGGAAGAUGUAACGGGGCUAAACCAUGCACCGAAGCUGCGGCAGCGACACUCAGGUGUUGUUGGGUAGGGGAGCGUUCUGUAAGCCUGUGAAGGUGGCCUGUGAGGGUUGCUGGAGGUAUCAGAAGUGCGAAUGCUGACAUAAGUAACGAUAAAGCGGGUGAAAAGCCCGCUCGCCGGAAGACCAAGGGUUCCUGUCCAACGUUAAUCGGGGCAGGGUGAGUCGACCCCUAAGGCGAGGCCGAAAGGCGUAGUCGAUGGGAAACGGGUUAAUAUUCCCGUACUUGGUGUUACUGCGAAGGGGGGACGGAGAAGGCUAUGUUGGCCGGGCGACGGUUGUCCCGGUUUAAGCGUGUAGGUGUGUGUUCCAGGUAAAUCCGGUUCACUUUAACACUGAGGCGUGACGACGAGGCACUACGGUGCUGAAGCAACAAAUGCCCUGCUUCCAGGAAAAGCCUCUAAGCAUCAGGUAACAUCAAAUCGUACCCCAAACCGACACAGGUGGUCAGGUAGAGAAUACCAAGGCGCUUGAGAGAACUCGGGUGAAGGAACUAGGCAAAAUGGUGCCGUAACUUCGGGAGAAGGCACGCUGACAUGUAGGUGAAGUGAUUUACUCA